AGAGGUAAGAGGUACUACAGGGGUAGGAGUGAAAUCGUUGUAAUCCCUGUGGGACCACCUGUGGCGGAGGCGUCUACCAGAACGGGUUCGACGGUGAGGGACGAAAGCUGGGGGCACGAACCGGAUUAGAUACCCGGGUAGUCCCCAGCCGUAAACGAUGCUCGGCUAGGUGUCAGGCAUGGGCGCGACCGUGUCUCGGUGCCGCAGGGGAAGCCGUGAAGCGAGGCCACCUGGGAAGUACGGCCGCGAAAGGCUGAAACUUAAAGGAAUUGGCGGGGGAGCACAACAACGGGUGGAGACCCUGCGGGUUUUAAUUGGACUCAACGCCGGACAACUCAACCGGGGGGCGACAGCAAUAUGUAGGCCAAGCUGAAGACUUUGCCUGAAUCGCUGAGUAGAGGUGCAUGG
RNAcentral lists this ribosomal RNA (408 nucleotides) under uncultured archaeon. Its description in RNAcentral is "bacterial SSU rRNA". It matches the Rfam family "Archaeal small subunit ribosomal RNA", at positions 604 to 997 of the family's 1478-position model. The record is from RNAcentral.